GGGGAUUUAGCUCAGUGGUAGAGCGCUUGCCUAGCAAGUGUAAGGCCCUGGGUUCGGUCCCCAGCUCCCCCC
Non-coding RNA from Rattus norvegicus (Norway rat), 72 nucleotides. The record is from Rfam. Lineage: Eukaryota; Metazoa; Chordata; Mammalia; Rodentia; Muridae.